This 253-nucleotide ribosomal RNA is filed under the name uncultured bacterium. Its description in RNAcentral is "partial 16S ribosomal RNA". It matches the Rfam family "Bacterial small subunit ribosomal RNA", at positions 524 to 776 of the family's 1533-position model. The record is from RNAcentral.
UACGGAGGGUGCGAGCGUUAAUCGGAAUUACUGGGCGUAAAGCGUGCGUAGGUGGUUUGUUAAGUCAGAUGUGAAAGCCCCGGGCUCAACCUGGGAACUGCAUUUGAUACUGUCAGGCUAGAGUGUGGUAGAGGGAAGUGGAAUUCCGGGUGUAGCGGUGAAAUGCGUAGAUAUCCGGAGGAACACCGGUGGCGAAGGCGGCUUCCUGGACCGACACUGACACUGAGGCACGAAAGCGUGGGUAGCAAACAGG